RNAcentral lists this ribosomal RNA (442 nucleotides) under uncultured bacterium. Its description in RNAcentral is "partial 16S ribosomal RNA". It matches the Rfam family "Bacterial small subunit ribosomal RNA", at positions 338 to 795 of the family's 1533-position model. The record is from RNAcentral.
CCUACGGGUGGCAGCAGUAGGGAAUCUUUCACAAUGGGCGAAAGCCUGAUGGAGCAACGCCGCGUGCAGGAUGAAGGCCUUCGGGUUGUAAACUGCUUUUAUAAGCGAGAAAUAUGAUGGUAACUUAUGAAUAAGGAUCGGCUAACUACGUGCCAGCAGCCGCGGUCAUACGUAGGAUCCGAGCAUUAUCCGGAGUGACUGGGUGUAAAGAGUUGCGUAGGUGGCAUAAUAAGUAGCUAGUGAAAUCUGGUGGCUCAACCAUUCAGACUAUUAGCUAAACUGUUAAGCUCGAGACCGUUAGGGGUAACUGGAAUGUGUAGUGUAGGAGUGAAAUCCGGAGAUAUUAGAAGGAACACCAAUAGCGUAGGCAGGUUGCUGGGACGGUUCUGACACUAAGGCACGAAAGCGUAGGGAGCAAACGGGAUUAGAUACCCCUGUAGUC